CCGGGAUCACUGGAGCCGGAUCAUGAAAAGGUGUUUUACUACACAUAUCUGGAUCAAGCUCCACUGAUCCGCAAUAUUGAUCUGAUCCUGAUCCGAUCCGAUCCUGAGAGGCAUGCACCGUAACUAGGGAAACUGACCAAUGAGAAGCAAACUCAAUGUGUGGCGCUUACUUAAAACUUACUUAAAAUUUAAAUAAUAUUUUAGGGAAUCCCUACAUAUUAUACAAGGACUAAAAGCUUAUGAUGUCAGCUAUCCAAGUAUGGUCCUUAUUAAAGAAAUCCCCCCAUAUAAACAAACAAUGCACUGAAUAACUUGGUGGACUGUCACCCGAAAGACAGCCCCUGUGUAGCUGAUUUCUUUAUGUGUUAUUAAUAACUAAACUAAAUUAUUACAAUAUAUAUUUUUAUUUGUUUUUAGUGUUGGACAGAAAAACAGUAGUCUGAGGUCAAAAUAAAACAAAAAAAUAUGAAGCAGAGAUGUAAAGUCCAGUGUUUAAGUAAACCUUGCUUUAGAAUUGGUUACCUGUUUGCCACAUAGACAUUUGUCUGUUUAGCAACUAUGCUUAUUUGUGUCUCAGACUGUUUUUAAGCAAGCCCCAGACCCACUUGCCCUGAGAAUUAGUUGUGAAUUUCACAAUAACCACAUUGCAUGUGCAUACAGAGAAGAAGGGUGUAAUGUCCCACUUUCAAAUAAUAUUGUUUCCAUUUAACAUUUUACAAAAAUUCCCAAGGCAAUGUAUUUAUUAUUUUAUUUAUUUCAAGCAAAAGAAAGAAUAGGUUUCAUGAGGAUGACUGGUGGAGGCCCACCGUCUCAAGAUGCAAAGGGGGUGUCACAAAGACGGCCGGAGUGGGUGGCGUCAGACCAGAGCCAGGAAAUAAAUAAACAAAACAAGAGAUGAAAAGGUGGACCAAGCUCCUGUCUUCAAGCCCCCUGCUCAGCCUGCCUCACUUAAACAGGCUGUGAAAUGCCCACCUUCAAGUGAGGUUCUGCUAGAUGCACUACAGGAAGGAAGCCAAGUAUGUAGCUAUAAUGAUAGAUUAAACAGCCAAUGUUGGAAAUGCAGCUCAGCUGUCUUGUGUUUUCAGGUACUAGUAUGUGACUGACAGUGGCCCGAAAGAACAUUUGUUUUGUGAAAAUGUGUUACAUUUACUAAAUUAAAAUAAUAAUAAAAAUGCUUUUA
Acipenser ruthenus (sterlet) is the source of this 1180-nucleotide long non-coding RNA. RefSeq lists it as uncharacterized. The transcript is spliced from 3 exons. Lineage: Eukaryota; Metazoa; Chordata; Actinopteri; Acipenseriformes; Acipenseridae. The record is from RefSeq and is a predicted model, not a curated record.